RNAcentral lists this ribosomal RNA (494 nucleotides) under uncultured bacterium. Its description in RNAcentral is "partial 16S ribosomal RNA". It matches the Rfam family "Bacterial small subunit ribosomal RNA", at positions 28 to 507 of the family's 1533-position model. The record is from RNAcentral.
GACGAACGCUGGCGGCGUGCCUAAUACAUGCAAGUAGAACGCUGAAGGAGGAGCUUGCUUCUCUGGAUGAGUUGCGAACGGGUGAGUAACGCGUAGGAACCUGCCUGGUAGCGGGGGAUAACUAUUGGAAACGAUAGCUAAUACCGCAUAAUAGUAGAUGUUGCAUGACAUUUGCUUAAAAGGUGCAAUUGCAUCACUACCAGAUGGACCUGCGUUGUAUUAGCUAGUUGGUGGGGUAACGGCUCACCAAGGCGACGAUACAUAGCCGACCUGAGAGGGUGAUCGGCCACACUGGGACUGAGACACGGCCCAGACUCCUACGGGAGGCAGCAGUAGGGAAUCUUCGGCAAUGGACGGAAGUCUGACCGAGCAACGCCGCGUGAGUGAAGAAGGUUUUCGGAUCGUAAAGCUCUGUUGUAAGAGAAGAACGAGUGUGAGAGUGGAAAGUUCACACUGUGACGGUAUCUUACCAGAAAGGGACGGCUAACUACGUG